Molecule: ribosomal RNA, 273 nt
Filed under: uncultured bacterium
Lineage: Bacteria
Description: partial 16S ribosomal RNA
Rfam family: Bacterial small subunit ribosomal RNA
Source: RNAcentral
AUACGUAUGUCGCAAGCGUUAUGCGGAAUUAUUGGGCGUAAAGCGAGUCUAGGCGGCUUGUUAAGUCAGAUGUUAAAAUGCGGGGCUCAACUCCGUAUUGCGUUUGAAACUGGCAGGCUAGAGUACUGGAGAGGUGGGCGGAACUACAAGUGUAGAGGGGAAAUUAGUAGAUAUUUGUAGGAAUGCCGAUAGGGAAGACAGCUCACUGGACAGAUACUGACGCUAAAGCUCGAAAGCGUGGGGAGCGAACAGGAUUAGAUACCCUAGUAGUCC